GGGCCCGCACAAGCGGUGGAGCAUGUGGUUUAAUUCGAUGCAACGCGAAGAACCUUACCAGGGCUUGACAUACUACAAAUUCUUUUGAGAAAGAGAAGUGCCUUCGGGAAUGUAGAUACAGGUGGUGCAUGGCUGUCGUCAGCUCGUGUCGUGAGAUGUUGGGUUAAGUCCCGCAACGAGCGCAACCCUUAUUUUUAGUUACCAAUUCGUUGGGUUUUUUAGAAAGACUGCCGGUGACAAACCGGAGGAAGGUGAGGAUGACGUCAAGUCAGCAUGCCCCUUAUGUCCUGGGCUACACACGUGCUACAAUGGUUAAGACAAAGAGUCGCAAGCUCGCGAAGAGUUAG
RNAcentral lists this ribosomal RNA (347 nucleotides) under uncultured bacterium. RNAcentral describes it as "bacterial SSU rRNA". It matches the Rfam family "Bacterial small subunit ribosomal RNA", at positions 917 to 1267 of the family's 1533-position model. The record is from RNAcentral.